Molecule: ribosomal RNA, 253 nt
Filed under: uncultured bacterium
Lineage: Bacteria
Description: partial 16S ribosomal RNA
Rfam family: Bacterial small subunit ribosomal RNA
Source: RNAcentral
UACGUAGGGUGCAAGCGUUGUCCGGAUUUAUUGGGCGUAAAGAGCUCGUAGGCGGUUUAGCAAGUUGGGUGUGAAAACUCCAGGCUCAACCUGGGAACUGCGUCUGAUACUGGAUGGCUUGAAUUCGGGAGAGGGAUGCAGAAUUCCUGGUGUAGCGGUGAAAUGCGCAGAUAUCAGGAGGAACACCGGUGGCGAAGGCGGUUCUCUGGGCAUUACCUGACGCUGAGGAGCGAAAGUGUGGGGAGCGAACAGG